This 473-nucleotide long non-coding RNA is filed under the name Canis lupus dingo (dingo). RNAcentral describes it as "lncRNA (ENSCAFG00020022188.1)". The record is from RNAcentral. Lineage: Eukaryota; Metazoa; Chordata; Mammalia; Carnivora; Canidae.
UGAAUGGUGGCAACGGCAGCAAAACCCCCAUGAUUCCAAGGCCAGGGGCGCUUGCCUUGUGGAAGCUGGGGAGGAAUUGUUACUUUAUAUGUGUUGUGUUGAUCACUUGAGGGAUACUUCUCCUGAGUGUCUCGGAGUCCUUCCAUACCAUCCAUUGUGGCGCACAGAAACAGGCUCUUGGGGCUCAACUUUCUCCUUCUCUAUCAUCCUGGUCUUGGGCCUGGACAGCACCACCAGUGAGUGCUUGAGGCACCCACUGGGCUGCAGGCCUUGUCCCUUGGCCGUGCGCUGUGGCCUCCUCGGUGCCAUCUUACCCCUGCUGUGCUGCCCACUGUGGGGUAGGGGUUGGGCUCUCAAGCAACACGGACCCUUCUUCCCUCGCCCCCUCCCCCAAAGGGACGUGACUUUCUUUCUGGACUGUUUGUAUUGAAACAGAGUGGUGUCAAAUAAAGCCUCGACAGGGCCCUGGGCCA